Molecule: ribosomal RNA, 530 nt
Filed under: uncultured bacterium
Lineage: Bacteria
Description: bacterial SSU rRNA
Rfam family: Bacterial small subunit ribosomal RNA
Source: RNAcentral
UGGGGAAUAUUGGACAAUGGGCGCAAGCCUGAUCCAGCCAUGCCGCGUGAGUGAUGAAGGCCUUAGGGUUGUAAAGCUCUUUCGCCUGUGAAGAUAAUGACGGUAGCAGGUAAAGAAACCCCGGCUAACUCCGUGCCAGCAGCCGCGGUAAUACGGAGGGGGUUAGCGUUGUUCGGAAUUACUGGGCGUAAAGCGCACGUAGGCGGACCAGAAAGUUGGGGGUGAAAUCCCGGGGGCUCAACCCCGGAACUGCCUCCAAAACUAUUGGUCUAGAGUUCGAGAGAGGUGAGUGGAAUUCCAAGUGUAGAGGUGAAAUUCGUAGAUAUUUGGAGGAACACCAGUGGCGAAGGCGGCUCACUGGCUCGAUACUGACGCUGAGGUGCGAAAGUGUGGGGAGCAAACAGGAUUAGAUACCCUGGUAGUCCACACCGUAAAACGAUGAAUGCCAGUCGUCGGGGUAGCAUGCUAUUCGGUGACACACCUAACGGAUUAAGCAUUCCGGCCUGGGGAGUACGGUCGCAAGAUUAAAA